Neltuma alba is the source of this 506-nucleotide long non-coding RNA. RefSeq lists it as uncharacterized. The transcript has 2 exons. NCBI's taxonomy places the organism in Eukaryota, Viridiplantae, Streptophyta, Magnoliopsida, Fabales, Fabaceae. The record is from RefSeq and is a predicted model, not a curated record.
AAUCCACCUCCUUUGUGGCUUUCCCAGUUCCCACAAAGGAAUUUCCGAGAGAAAGGUCAAAGCAGAUGAAACGGGCCCAACAACAACUCCUUAGCAAUUUGGAGAGUGGCUAGGUUGUAAAGCUGAGAAACUUCUUUGGAAGGAGAAAUGUCCUCAAACAAGAAGUUCCACCAAACACAGCACUGAUGAGGAUAUUCAGAAGACAAAACCAACACCUUCUUGUCCCCUAGAUCUUCAGUCAACCAGUUUCUCAUUUAAUGGAUCAUUCUGUGAAAAGCUUUGUUAAUUUAUUUUGCAUGUGUUUGCAGCUGUUUGGACUUUUAAGAAUACAUGAGAAGAUGGUUUGGGUUGCUCAAAAUCGCAUUGUACGUGGCCUGUGUUAGUCAACUGAUAAAUAAUCUGGUCAGAAAAAGUCAGUGCAUACAAUGCUUAUUGUAAAAUGUAUUUGAGAUGAGAAAGAAAUCAUAAUUUCUCUGAUUUACUCUAUUUACUCUUCAAAUCCCUAA